CUUCUACUCCCUCCGAUCCAUAUUAAUUGUCUAACAUUUGUUCAAAUAUGGAUGUAUCAAUGCCUAAAAAGUUUUUAGAUACAUGUAAUAUUUUGACAAUUAAUAUGGAUCGGAGGGAGUAGUAC
Brachypodium distachyon (stiff brome) is the source of this 125-nucleotide non-coding RNA. Lineage: Eukaryota; Viridiplantae; Streptophyta; Magnoliopsida; Poales; Poaceae. The record is from Rfam.